Molecule: long non-coding RNA, 4430 nt
Filed under: Pongo abelii (Sumatran orangutan)
Lineage: Eukaryota; Metazoa; Chordata; Mammalia; Primates; Hominidae
Description: lincRNA
Source: RNAcentral
UUGCUUGGGUGAAUAGAAAUGAAGAAACACAAAAGAAAGCUGCCAAUUGGAUAUGGGUAUUGUAGCUGACAGGUCUUGGGAGCUGAGUCAGGGUCAGGGAGACUGUGAUGGCAAUGAGAAGUCAACACACUGAGGAUAGGGAGAAAGAAGAUGAGUCUGGGAGAGAAAGAGAAUGAUUCUUCUGGCCGAGGGAAAGGAAGAAUAUCUGUUCCUGCAACUGCACUGAUUCUAGAAACACUCUCAAUUCAAACUCUCUUGAGAUGAAAAAACUGAGGUAUAGAAUGAUACAACAGGGCCAGGCAUGGUGGCUCACAUCUGUAAUACCAGCACUUUGGGAGGCCAAGGGAGGAGGAUCAUUUGAACCCAGAUGUUUGAGACCAGCCUGAGCAAAACAGGAAGAACCCAUCUCUACAAAAAAAUUAUCUAGUGCUGACCUGCUUGUUGAAUGCUGGGAUCUCCAGAAGAGGGAGGCAGACAUCACACACCAGCUGGCAAGUGGGAGCUGGUAUGCAACAUGCCCCAAUACCACUCCCCUUCUGCCAUCCCUAUCUCCUAAUGAUGCCUCCUUUUGGCCAAACCCACCUUUGGCUGGAGGGCAACAGAGCCCAUUGACAUGGUCCCCUUGCAUCUGCUACCUGGGGAGAAAAGCAGGAUGGACACUGAAUCUAGAGAAAUGAAGGAACCCAUCCAGAAGAGUACUGCUUCUUUAUGCUUUUGUAGGAACAGUGUCACGGGAUGCUGGGGACAGCAGUUGGAGUGAUGCAUCUAUGGGCCAAGGGAAUGCCAAGGAUUGCCAGCUAUCACCUGGAGAGAAGCAUGGGACUGAUGCCCUCACGGAGCCCUCCGAGAGAGCCAACCCUGCUGACACCUUGAUUUCAGACUUCUAGCCUCCAGAACUGUGAGAGAAUAAAUUUCUGUUUUCUUAAGCCACCCAGUUUGUAGCACUUUAUUAUGGCAGCCCUGGGAAACUAACACACUACCCUUAUUUUCAUGCUGAGGAAUGUAAGAUAGUUUUAGUCACCACCUGCUUCUAUACAAGUUUUAUGAUCUCUCCUCUUAGUACUGCAGAAGUUAUGGGUUUUACCAUUUUAGUAUAUAGCAUAAUAUAUCCAGCACACAUUAUAUAUUUAGCACUUUAUUAGAGUACCCUAGUUUUCUCUUCUGAAAAACUGUGAGCCUGGAUUUGAUGAUUUCUAAGGCUUUUAUUUUUUCCCUAUGUAUUCUCUGAUCAGAAUACCCUGUUCAAUGAAGCCACUGGUAAUGAAGCUCAUUAAAAAUGAAAUCACUUAGGCAGGGAGUUGGAGAGUGACUCGUUUAAAAUGUUGCCUCCUGGAAACUGAAGUUCAUUGAACACAAAAGCUUUGGGCGGGACUCAGAUUGGUAGGGACUCUGCAGUCUGAUGAAUGGGUCUGGUGACAGGGAGCAUCUGAUCCCGUCUAGGGAGGGUAGGGAGAGGGAGUCUGGAGAGGGACGCGUAAACAAGCCAUCUUCAGACAUACUACCUACUCCUCUCCCAUGUCUCCUGCAUGCUUGGAUGUUACACUUCUUUAAAGAGCAGGCGACAGGUUGCCCCUGGGAUGCUCAGAGCCAGGCAAGGUGGGACUUGCCCCUGCUCCCCCUUCCUCUAUCUGAAAAGUUGCCGUUAGUCCCACGGGGCCCCUUCCUGUCACACUGACACAGCUUGCUGGUUUUUGUUUUCUUUCACUGUCCUUUUUCUUUUUUCAAAAGCUCCUCACAGGAAGGGUUUGGCAGGCAGCUCAGGCCCCUGCUGCGAUGGAGAAUCUAGCAAACUUGUCCCGCUGAUUGAUUAAACACCGAGGAGGCUCCAAGACCCGAGCAUGAAAUUCCUUGGCUCUGAUUGUGAUAAGGGUAGAGCUCGUUAAUGAAUGGAGUCUGAUUACAGCCCAGCCUCUCCAGUGCCUCCUGUUGCCCCAAUUUGGGGGAUUCUUCUGCUUUGAGUACAUCUUGGAAAGCAGCACAGAGUUCUCAGCAGGAUCUGCGACGUCUGAUCCAAGAAAGAUUUUUGUUGUUGUUGUCAUUGUUGUUUUUUAAUCCUGAUCGUUGCUCUCAAACCCUUCUCUACACAGCUUGGCGUGGGGGGUAGUUGAUUCCAGUGAAACCAGGUGGAAGCAGUGCCACUGCCACCUGUGAGGAGGAAAUGGGCAACAUUCUGCUUCAUCCAUCCUGAACAUUCAGGCCCGAAUGUUCCAAACUGAUACUAAACUGAGACUCUCUGAAGGCCCAUGGGGAAGCCUGGCAUUGUAUAACCGUUUCUUCUAGCAAGGCUCUCUCCUCACAUUCACAGCCUGCCACUUAAAGCUUUGGGAGACAAUGUAGUCGACCUGUAGUUCUUCCUGUAUGUGGUUCCUGGUCAGUCACUGGGCAAGGAGGAGGCUGCAGGCAUUGUGCUAUGCCCUUAUCUCUCUCUCUCUGUUUGUCUCUUAUCUAGUUAAAAUCAGGAAAUGGAGCUUGGUCCUUUGUUUGUAAAGUAAGGGUGUGGAAAAUGAUCCCUAAGGUACCUCCUAGUUUAGAAAAGUCUUAAUGCUGUUUUAUAAUAACUCACCCACCUCUCCUCUUCCAUGAGCUCAGAGCUGCCCAGCCCUAGGAAUGUGUUUCUGCCACAACAAGGAAUACAGAAGGAGUUGAGCAGGAAACCUGCCUCCUAUCAGAUUCACCUGAGGACGUGGGUUGUCACGAGCUCCCCAAACAAUAAAGCACUUUACGACAUAGGAGGCAUUAUUAUUAAGCUGUUUUCAGUCCCUGAUACCUGCAGGUUGUAGGACCAUGGUGCAUGAAGGAUUUUAAGGAGGCAUUUGAGAAGAAUGAGACAGUAGACAGUGAGGUCACAUGACAAUCUGGGGAUGGGUGGAGGCACUUUUGAAAUGUGAAAGGGACAUAGACUGUAUAUCUGGAGCACAAAGGCAGGUUUCACCAGCUUUGUCCUGCUCAGCACCAGUUGGAAGAGAGCAUCUGGCUUUGAAGUGUCUAAAGCCAGGCAUGAUGCUGGAUUCUACAGCUGGGUUUUGCUUCAUCACCCAGGCUGGAGUGCAGUGGCAUGAUUGGAGCUCAGUGCAGCCUUCAAUCCCUGGGCUCAAGGAAUCCUCUCACCUCAGCCUCCCAAAUAGCUAGGACUACAGGCUGGAGUGCAAUGGCAAGAUCUUUGCUCACUGAAACCUCUGCCUCCUGGAUUCAAGUGAUUCUCCUGCCUUAGCCUCCACAGUAACUGGGAUUACAGAUUUCUGAUAACUUUGGAGAUUGUGAGAGCAGAAUGGAGGGAUAACUUUCUGUAAUCAUGGAGAGCUGAAAUAUUCAUGAAUAUGAAGCACAACAGGAAUUAACUGCAUAGACUGAACUAGUAGAAGACUGAAGUAAUCCUUUUGACUUUUUGCUUAAAAUGUGGCUGAUCCUUUGUUUCAUUUUUCAGAGUCAAGGAAACUUUUCUUUUGAGGUAUUGACAGGUUUUAACAAUUAAAUACACUGUACUUCUGUGAAAGAAAUUUGGAGCUUAUUUGUUUCUCUCUAUCUGAUUUCUCCAGAAUUUAGAAACUAUGUGUGAGUAUUCUUAACUUAUGGAAAUAUAGUUAUUUACAUAAGUGCAAUAAGAAUCUGUUUUCAUUUGUAACAGACACAAUUAGAGAAGCUAAUUAUUUUACCAAGGCUUUCACUGGAGUAGUGUGCUUUCCUUUAAGGAAUCAAACUUUACUUACAGAGCCAAUGAAAGCCCCUUGGGAAAAGUGGCCUCAUACCUUGUUUUCACUGUCCUGGUACAGGGUUCCUGGCAUGGGAUAAGUAAAGAAUAUUGCUUUCUGACAGGCCAAGGAGCCCCAAGUCAUCUUGAGACCUCAAGAAGAAAGGAAUUCACCCAACUUAUAGGUAUUUAAUGGUACAAAUCCACGGCUGGGCUCAGCUUUAAAAAAGUCUUAUCUGAGACUCCUUCUACGGAACAAAGUUCCAUCGAAACCAAUUUAAAAAGCCCAUGUGAAAAAUAAUUAUUCUUGCUGCACUUUAUAGAAUUAAUCUGGCCAAGUGUAAUAAAGCAAAUUGGUACUACCAUAAUUUGACUUUAAAAUGGGAAAUUGGAGAGAAAAAAAAUAUGUUUCAAAACUACAGUAUACCUUUUGUUGAUUCUAGUCUUGCCUAAUAUUUUUCAAUUUUUAUUAUUUUCUACAGUUUGGACUGAACUCUAAUUUUCCCUGGCUACAAGUCUCCAAAAUAAUGUUUUCAAUUUUUUUCUUCCUUUUUCUUGUUUUCCUUUUCCCCCCAAUUUUUCCUAAUUUGAAAUCACUGAAAACUAAGUUGUGUUUUCUUAAAGCCCUGUGAACUGAAACUAGACAACUUAGCUUCAGAAGACAAUAAUAGCAACCCAUUCACAUACAUAAGCCAACUCUCAUACCUGCCUACUGAUGUAUGGACUUCAGAGUAAUGUGGCC